CCUACGGGUGGCAGCAGUGGGGAAUAUUGCGCAAUGGGCGAAAGCCUGACGCAGCGACGCCGCGUGAGGGAUGAAGGUCUUCGGAUCGUAAACCUCUGUCAGCAGGGAAGAACGGUCACUGUGCUAAUCAGCAGUGAAUUGACGGUACCUGCAAAGGAAGCACCGGCUAACUCCGUGCCAGCAGCCGCGGUAAUACGGAGGGUGCGAGCGUUAAUCGGAAUUACUGGGCGUAAAGCGCUCGUAGGCGGUAUGUCAAGUCAAGGGUGAAAUCCCCGCGCUCAACGUGGGAACUGCCUUUGAAACUGGCAAGCUUGAGUGUGUGAGAGGGCGGCGGAAGUCCUGGUGUAGGAGUGAAAUGCGUAGAUAUCAGGAGGAACAUCAGUGGCGAAGGCGGCCGCCUGGCACAAAACUGACGCUGAGGUGCGAAAGCGUGGGUAGCAAACAGGAUUAGAUACCCUAGUAGUC
Molecule: ribosomal RNA, 465 nt
Filed under: uncultured bacterium
Lineage: Bacteria
Description: partial 16S ribosomal RNA
Rfam family: Bacterial small subunit ribosomal RNA
Source: RNAcentral